This 327-nucleotide ribosomal RNA is filed under the name uncultured eukaryote. RNAcentral describes it as "partial 18S ribosomal RNA". It matches the Rfam family "Eukaryotic small subunit ribosomal RNA", at positions 1470 to 1796 of the family's 1831-position model. The record is from RNAcentral.
CCCUUAGAUGUUCUGGGCCGCACGCGCGCUACACUGACGGAUUCAACGAGCUUACAACCUUGGCCGAAAGGUCUGGGUAAUCUCCAAAAUCCGUCGUGAUGGGGAUAGAUUAUUGCAAUUAUUAAUCUUCAACGAGGAAUGCCCAGUAAGCGCAAGUCAUCAGCUUGCGUUGAUUACGUCCCUGCCCUUUGUACACACCGCCCGUCGCUCCUACCGAUUGAAUGGUCCGGUGAAGCGUUUGGACUAUGGUUUUCUGAUGGUCCGCCGUUGGAUUACCGUGGGAAGUUCGUUAAACCUUAUCAUUUAGAGGAAGGAGAAGUCGUAACA